Molecule: ribosomal RNA, 198 nt
Filed under: uncultured bacterium
Lineage: Bacteria
Description: partial 16S ribosomal RNA
Rfam family: Bacterial small subunit ribosomal RNA
Source: RNAcentral
ACGCUCGACACCUACGGGAGGCAGCAGUGGGGAAUAUUGCACAAUGGGGGAAACCCUGAUGCAGCGACGCCGCGUGAGCGAAGAAGUAUUUCGGUAUGUAAAGCUCUAUCAGCAGGGAANAAAAUGACGGUACCUGACUAAGAAGCCCCGGCUAACUACGUGUCAGCAGCCGCGGUAAUCUGAGCGGGCUGGCAAGGC